Molecule: ribosomal RNA, 460 nt
Filed under: uncultured bacterium
Lineage: Bacteria
Description: partial 16S ribosomal RNA
Rfam family: Bacterial small subunit ribosomal RNA
Source: RNAcentral
CCUACGGGUGGCAGCAGUGAGGAAUAUUGGUCAAUGGGCGGAAGCCUGAACCAGCCAAGUAGCGUGCAGGAUGACGGCCCUACGGGUUGUAAACUGCUUUUAUACGGGAAUAACGCGCCUUACGUGUAGGGCUUUGCAUGUACCGUAUGAAUAAGGACCGGCUAAUUCCGUGCCAGCAGCCGCGGUAAUACGGAAGGUCCGGGCGUUAUUCGGAUUUAUUGGGUUUAAAGGGAGCGUAGGCGGUAUGUCAAGUCAAGGGUGAAAUCCCCGCGCUCAACGUGGGAACUGCCUUUGAAACUGGCAAACUGGAGUGUGUGAGAGGAUAGUGGAAUUCCAGGUGUAGGAGUGAAAUCCGUAGAUAUCUGGAGGAACAUCAGUGGCGAAGGCGACUAUCUGGCACAUAACUGACGCUGAGGAGCGAAAGCGUGGGUAGCAAACAGGAUUAGAUACCCUUGUAGUC